RNAcentral lists this unclassified non-coding RNA (221 nucleotides) under Hevea brasiliensis (rubber tree). Lineage: Eukaryota; Viridiplantae; Streptophyta; Magnoliopsida; Malpighiales; Euphorbiaceae. The record is from RNAcentral.
GUGUUCUUGUCCAUUACUUCCAUCUGGUCUAGAAAAGAAGCAUUUGCAUUAAUUAUCAUAAUAUAGGUUUGUAUCUGUGGGUCAUCUGGUAAAGAGUUACACUCGCAACACAUCAUAUUAAAUACCAUAUAAAAGGUUUUCUAAAAAUGAGAAGCAAAAGUAUCAUAUUUCAUUUGAAGAACUCAAGAUACAGGUUAUUAUGGCGUAACAAAAUGGAACUG